Molecule: long non-coding RNA, 381 nt
Organism: Sphaeramia orbicularis (orbiculate cardinalfish)
Lineage: Eukaryota; Metazoa; Chordata; Actinopteri; Kurtiformes; Apogonidae
Exons: 3
Source: RefSeq, a predicted model, not a curated record
AUACAGAGGUAAAGAUGUGUUUCAGACCUGAUUCUUUUCUUCGCCGCCUCUCUGAAGGGUUGAAGGGACUGACUGGUGGCCAGAUGGAGGUUUUCCAGUAUGACCCACGUCUCAGGGUUGUCUCCAUGCACCCUGAGCUCCUCUAGCUGAUCGAUUCCAGACACAUGUGCUCUGCCAAUCUCCUCCAGAGCAUCGCUACCAAAGCUCAGCCUCCGGAGCUGGACCAGGCUCUUGAAUAGUGGAUGUGGGCCCAGACUCCUGGGAAACACAGAAGCAGAUUAUUUAGAGAGUUGAUUCCUGAUGCCAGGGGAGAUAAGACAGUGAAAUGAUGAAGAUGUGAAGGGACUAAAGAAAGGCCGUUGAAUCGACUCCAUGUGAGGG